RNAcentral lists this ribosomal RNA (442 nucleotides) under uncultured bacterium. Its description in RNAcentral is "bacterial SSU rRNA". It matches the Rfam family "Bacterial small subunit ribosomal RNA", at positions 195 to 632 of the family's 1533-position model. The record is from RNAcentral.
GGGGAUCGAAAGUCCUUGCGCUAAAGGAGCGGCCGAUGUCUGAUUAGCUAGUUGGUAAGGUAAAGGCUUACCAAGGCGGCGAUCAGUAGCUGGUCUGAGAGGACGAUCAGCCACACUGGGACUGAGACACGGCCCAGACUCCUACGGGAGGCAGCAGUGGGGAAUUUUGGACAAUGGGCGGAAGCCUGAUCCAGCAAUGCCGCGUGAGUGAAGAAGGCCUUCGGGUUGUAAAGCUCUUUCAGUCGAGAAGAAAAGGCUAUGCCGAAUAAGUAUAGUUAAUGACGGUAUCGAAAGAAGAAGCACCGGCUAACUACGUGCCAGCAGCCGCGGUAAUACGUAGGGUGCAAGCGUUAAUCGGAAUUACUGGGCGUAAAGGGUGCGCAGGCGGUACUGUAAGUCAGAUGUGAAAUCCCCGGGCUUAACCUGCGAAUUGCGUUUGAAA